Molecule: ribosomal RNA, 445 nt
Filed under: Paenibacillus vulneris
Lineage: Bacteria; Bacillati; Bacillota; Bacilli; Caryophanales; Paenibacillaceae
Description: bacterial SSU rRNA
Rfam family: Bacterial small subunit ribosomal RNA
Source: RNAcentral
UCCUACGGGGGGCGNAGCAGUAGGGAAUCUUCCGCAAUGGACGCAAGUCUGACGGAGCAACGCCGCGUGAGUGAUGAAGGUUUUCGGAUCGUAAAGCUCUGUUGCCAGGGAAGAACGCCAUGGGGAGUCACUGCCCUGUGGGUGACGGUACCUGAGAAGAAAGCCCCGGCUAACUACGUGCCAGCAGCCGCGGUAAUACGUAGGGGGCAAGCGUUGUCCGGAAUUAUUGGGCGUAAAGCGCGCGCAGGCGGUCAUUUAAGUUUGGUGUUUAAGCCCGGGGCUCAACCCCGGAUCGCACUGAAAACUGGAUGACUUGAGUGCGGGAGAGGAAAGUGGAAUUCCACGUGUAGCGGUGAAAUGCGUAGAGAUGUGGAGGAACACCCAGUGGCGAAGGCGACUUUCUGGACCGUAACUGACGCUGAGGCGGCGAAAGGCGGGCCCCGAA